CCACUCUUCUACGUCUCCCUCACUUGAACCCUAACCCUAGCCGCCCUAACAUUCUCUACCAAAGCUCACCGGCAACCACCAUCCAAACCUUCUCCAAACCUACUGAAAAUCACACCCCAUAACCUCGCUUUCCUCCUCAUCUCAUAUAUCGCCUUAGUUCCUUCCAAAACACCUAAAAAUCCCGAAAUUCCAGAUCUAAGAAACAACCAGUUUGUUCAGAUUUUUUGGUCCGUUAUUUCCUCAGCGCUUGAGUUUAAAGGGUUCAUCUAUGUUGUUUUCUUGGUUUAUUGGACUCUCAUAAGUCUUUUCUUCUAAGAAAAUUUGGUCAAAACUCCAUGCAAGGCCGGAUUCCUUGGAGGAAAAAACCCUUGGGUGGUCGAUUGGCGUGGAAUAGGACAUCGUAGACUGUUUCACACAUUCUUCACCCAUGAACGGUAAAAGAUUUUUCACCACUCCCUUUCUCCGUCUUUCCUAUUUGAGUCAGCAAUUCAUACCCUCUUUAGUUUGUUAGUUUACUUGUUUUUCAGUCAUUCAUUUUUAUCCUCUAGUCAUGUUUAAUUAGGUUUAUUCUAGUUUAUUAAUUUGGUUAAUUAAAGUAUGCUUAGAUUAAUUAGUAAAUCGUUGGCUACCUCAGUAGUUAGUUGUUUGAUGAAUUUGAAAUCAUUUGAUAAGUUUGCUUGCCUAAUUGAUUAAUUGGUUAUAAAUUAGGUUUUGAGUAUGAUCGUCAGCUUAUUGCUUGUUUUAGUUCAUUAAUUCUAGUUUGAUUCUGUUUGUUAUCAAUUAAAAAUUUGGGGGGGUUAAAGGGUCGUAACAGAACCUUAGGGGAGUCAAUUGGAAAGUGAACAUGAGAAUUUAAUAUAAGGCAUUAGGAAGUUUCUAGAUUUUGGACAACUGUCCCAAUUUGUUAAUGAAAAAAUGCUGAAAUUGAAUAGAAAUGGACAGCUAUCCAUUUUUCUGUUAAAAAAGAUGCACUUUUCCUGAAAAUUAGGGUUGGUUGUAGAGAAUGAUUCUCUUAUCCUCACAUGGCAGAUUUCAUUCCACAUAUAUCUAGGACCCUCCUCUCUCUAAAAAAACACACGGAUCAGACACCUAAAAUCCCCCCUGAAAAUUCAGCUUCUUUUCCAUCAUCUUUUAAAGAUCAAUUUUAAGAUAGAUUUCAGAUUUGAAUCCCUCUUUUUUGAAAAUAAUGAAUUUUCUUCUCAUUGAACAAUGACCUUGCUUUUUUAUUGGUUUUGAGAUUACAGUUGGAUUUUUGGUUUUGAAAUCAAGUGUGUUGUCCUCUAGUGUCAUUUGCUGGGUUGUUUAAGUUGUCCUUUAGCUAUUUUUUCCUGCUGUUUACUGCUGUUACUCGUUGAUUUCAAAGACAUCUUUCUUAUUCUGUUCACUUGCUAUAUCCAGAUAUUUCUUUGAACCUUGAAUGACAAUAUAAUGUAAGCAUAUUUGUGUGGAAGAUGUAUCUGUGCUGUGAAAUCAAUGAAGUUACUCGUGUUGGACUUUAGUUUUUUUUACGUUCUUUUGAGCCAUUCAGUUCUUUCCUCUAACUUCUUCCCUAUUUAGCUCUUACUUAAAUACGAUAAAUCUGUUGUGUUUAGUCAAUGUUUAGUUAGAUAUUCUGUGUCAAAUGUCUAGUAGUUCAUCCUUCAUGUACUGGGUCUACUUGAAAGUUUAGUUCGUUGAUGACAAAUGUAUGAUGUAAUUAGCUCAUCUUUGUCUGUUCAUUGAAUUGGGGUAUUGACUAAUAUGCUGGCCAUGAUUCAUUUGGUAAAAUUAAGGGAUCAGUUCUGAUGCCCCAACUUCAUGUACUCCUAGGAAAAGAAACUUCUUGGUUAAAUCGUCUUUCAGAUGUGUCUCCUUAGCAUUCAUGUAUAGUUAGUGUGACUGAAUUAAUUAUAAUAUUGGACUUUUACUUCACAGUUUUGUUCCAGUUUGAGUAACUGUUAAGUAUUUGGGUUAAUUAACAAUUCUUGUUCCUGUCUGAGGAAAUGACUGGCUCUUAUGGUUAAAAAUGUUCUGUUCGUGUUGUCCCUCUAUUUCGUAAAAAGUAAGGCAAAAGUCGUCAGUUUGGGUAGUGCCAGGUUAGCUUCUGGUACCUUAGGUGGAACGUUUUUUUGAUUGAAACCUUUCAAAACAUAUACUGCCUUUAUUAGAUUCACAGUUGGAAAUUUUUUAAAUGUUUAGUUUAAGUUUAUUUGUAGUAAUUAUUAGCCAAAAAGAAAAGCAGCAAAUUGAAAUCUUGAGAAAAACGUGCAUCCUAGUUAUUAGAAGAUUUUGGGUUGGAAUAAGCCCAUCGCACUUUGGGCUUUUAGUUGAAUGCAGGUUUUUAAUCUCAAACUUAGGAAAGAAAAAAAUCAUGAAUAUUCGUAGAAAAUGCUUUAGGCGUGAUUUAAGCUAUCAUCGUGGUUGUGUACACGUUCACGUGACAUAAUUACGAUACUAAAAACAAAAUCGGGGUAUGCGUUCGCACAAAUUUGGCCAAAAUUUCUUAAUAUUAAUAAAGCGUUAUUAAUUAUGGAUACGUAUGAAUGACAUGAUUCUUGACACACCAAACAAAGGAGUACACGUACGCGUGCCUCGUUUUUCUUCUUAAAUUAAAAGAGAAAAUGUACAUAGGUUCUAAAAUAAAUAAUUAGAUAAUUUAAUUAAGCCAAGUAUAAUUAAAGUGACCAUCCUAAAAUCACAGAACCCGAAAAUGCCUAAUACCUUCUACUGAAUUAACAGAAUUCCUUACCCGGAUUUCUGUGUUUCGUGAACUGUAAAACAGAGUCAAACUUCGUCGAUUCGGGAUUUUAAACCGGUGACUUGAGACACCAUAAAUUAUCCCAAGUGGCGACUCUGAAUCUGAAUAUAAAUAAUCCCGUUUCGAUUAUUGUCACUUUAAUUAGAAAAACUCCCUAUCCUCUCGGGAAAAAGGAGGUGUAACAGCUCUGGCAACUCUGCUGGGGAUCGAACCCAGAAUCUCUGGUUCGGGGUUCAGAAUUCGAGCUUGUUAAUAUGACCUAUGCUUGGCUUUAUUUUUUGUUGAUAGUACUGUAUUUAUGGGCCUAAUAUGCUAAUUGCUGGUUAUUUACCGCUUUGCUAUUAUUUGAACUGUAUUAAACUGUCUUCUUACGUCUCCCUUCUGAGUCUUCUAAAAAUAUGGUGCACACGUAUGCGUAGCCCACUUUCUUGUUAGAAGUCAUAUAAAAUAGAACGAGGCUGGAUAAGCAACUAGAUCGAGUAGACUUUCGUGCUUCCGGUACGUUGCCCCCACCUCGGCUCGAGCUGUCCGCUUGGAUAAGCUAUGUCUAGAACACACACCCCCAGGUUUAAACCUAGAAUGACAUAACCUCAUACCGAAUCCCUAGUAGACACGUUUGUUUGCACUAUGUGCAUUUGACUUUGGGGACUCAACACAGGGGUUGAGUUCGUUUAGGACAGGUGUACCCAAAAUUAAAAGACCAUUCUGGUGCAUCUUAUGUGCUACAUGUUGCAUUUGCCAGGGGUAAAAAGGAUCAUUUGACGGACCAAUGAUGGUUGAGGGUAAAUGAGAGAGAAAAGAGGGUGAAGUGUGAAAAUGAAGCAAGUAUGACCCAGUUAUGUUUUUCUUUCACAUUUUUUAAGGAAAAGACCAAAAAAAAAAAACUAAAAAAUCCCAAAGAAGAUUUUGCACUUUCCAAUCAUUUUUUUAAAAAAAAGAAAGACAAAAAAAAUGUUUUCACCAAAUCAUUUGUUUUAUUUUAUUUUAUUAUUCUCACCCGUAUCCAAUCCCCCCGAACUACACAUACCUGAUUCUGGUCUUUCGGGACGGGAUACGUAUGCAACCCACAUAGGUUCCGAUCUUUCUAGUGCUUCUUAGGUUCUUCGCUUCGAGGUUCGUUGCCAAAUCUUGCAUGUCUAGUCACUUUUGGCCACGUCGGCCGUUUUGCAAAAUAGGGAAAUUUUUGCAAAUUGGCUUGUUUACAAUUAGGUGUCUCAUUACUUUAAGGUCCGUUCUGGUCGAAUUUGCGAGUCUAGUCGCUUUUGGCCACAUCGGCUGUUGUUGCAAAAUGGGGUCAUUUUCGCAAAAGUGGUUCAGUGACCCACGUCUUAGAGUCCUCUUCGUUUAAGGUCCAUUCGUUUAAAUUUGCAUGCUUAGACAUUUUUUUGGGCCACGUAGGCCAUUUCUACAAAAUGGGUCAUUUCUGCAAAGUAAUUUUUCUAUGUCUUAGAGGCCACUUUUGUUGAGUUUGCACUUCUAACCACCUUUUGGGCCAUGUAGGCUAUUUUGAAAAAAUAGUCUCAAUCAUGUCUUGCCAGUGUCCAAUAGGAAGUGUAUUGUCUCACGUAGGGUUCUAAGUCUCUAGCUCUGUUUGAUUUUAUUUUUCUCAGUAGGUAUGGAUACAUUUAUCAGAGCUCGAGCAUGCCAGACGCCCAAGGACCCUCUUAGUUAGGACCGCUGCAUCCAGGAGUCGCUUAAGGAAUUUUUUUAUGUUUUGAGUCUAUUUCUUUUUAUGGUGUCUUGUACUUUGUAGUCACGUCCAGUAGUACUGAUUCUUUUAGUUGGUGUCAGAGUUUGUCAAGUCUCUCGUUAUCGUAUUUCUUAUUUUGUAUUUGAAAACCGAAAAAUGUUAUAAAUGAAAAAUCCAAAAAAAAGAUUUUUAUUUUAGUUUAUUUUGUCCAUUACUUUUCCAGAACUACAUUUGGUCUGAUUAAUAUGGGACAUGAUACGUAGGCAACCUAAAUAGGAUUUGAUCGAAUCGUUUUUGAAAAAAAGGAAAAAAGAGAUGACAUUAUAGGAGUUGAG
Molecule: long non-coding RNA, 4762 nt
Filed under: Nicotiana tabacum (common tobacco)
Lineage: Eukaryota; Viridiplantae; Streptophyta; Magnoliopsida; Solanales; Solanaceae
Description: long non-coding RNA (NTAB_LNC000851)
Source: RNAcentral